This 497-nucleotide ribosomal RNA is filed under the name uncultured bacterium. RNAcentral's name for it is "partial 16S ribosomal RNA". It matches the Rfam family "Bacterial small subunit ribosomal RNA", at positions 28 to 507 of the family's 1533-position model. The record is from RNAcentral.
GACGAACGCUGGCGGCGUGCCUAAUACAUGCCAGUUGAGCGAUGAAGAUUGGUGCUUGCACCAAUUUGAAGAGCAGCGAACGGGUGAGUAACGCGUGGGGAAUCUGCCUUUGAGCGGGGGACAACAUUUGGAAACGAAUGCUAAUACCGCAUAAUAACUUUAAACAUAAGUUUUAAGUUUGAAAGAUGCAAUUGCAUCACUCAAAGAUGACCCCGCGUUGUAUUAGCUAGUUGGUGAGGUAAAGGCUCACCAAGGCGAUGAUACAUAGCCGACCUGAGAGGGUGAUCGGCCACAUUGGGACUGAGACACGGCCCAAACUCCUACGGGAGGCAGCAGUAGGGAAUCUUCGGCAAUGGACGAAAGUCUGACCGAGCAACGCCGCGUGAGUGAAGAAGGUUUUCGGAUCGUAAAACUCUGUUGGUAGAGAAGAACGUUGGUGAGAGUGGAAAGCUCAUCAAGUGACGGUAACUACCCAGAAAGGGACGGCUAACUACGUG